This 248-nucleotide ribosomal RNA is filed under the name uncultured bacterium. Its description in RNAcentral is "partial 16S ribosomal RNA". It matches the Rfam family "Bacterial small subunit ribosomal RNA", at positions 523 to 769 of the family's 1533-position model. The record is from RNAcentral.
AGACGGAGGGUGCAAGCGUUGUUCGGGAAUCACUGGGCGUAAAGCGCGUGUAGGCGGUCUGAUCAGUCGAGUGUGAAAGCCCGAGGCUCAACUUCGGAAGUGCACUCGAAACUGUCAGGCUUGAGCACGGGAGAGGGAAGUGGAAUUCCUGGUGUAGAGGUGAAAUUCGUAGAUAUCAGGAGGAACACCGGUGGCGAAGGCGGCUUCCUGGACCGAUACUGACGCUGAGACGCGAAAGCGUGGGGAGC